This 45-nucleotide non-coding RNA is filed under the name Schistosoma margrebowiei. Lineage: Eukaryota; Metazoa; Platyhelminthes; Trematoda; Strigeidida; Schistosomatidae. The record is from RNAcentral.
AUCCAGCUGACGAGUCCCAAAUAGGAUGACACGCAUAUCCUGGAU